RNAcentral lists this long non-coding RNA (3610 nucleotides) under Mytilus galloprovincialis (Mediterranean mussel). The record is from RNAcentral. Lineage: Eukaryota; Metazoa; Mollusca; Bivalvia; Mytilida; Mytilidae.
AAAUGUGACUGGUUAUAUUGAUGUAUUUUAUAAGGGCAUUUUGUUAUGUGUCAUAUGAGGUAUAUAUAGUUAUUUGCUCAAUUGAGGAUUUAUUUUAUAUGAGAUGAAAAUCAAAGAAAUGAUUUGAUUAACAUAUCAAUAUCUUUGUAACAUGGACUUAUGUAUUUUGUAUGAAAUGAUCGGAAAAUAUGGACUGAAUGUAACCUAUAGAAACAUUAUAUUGUGAAAACUAACGGUUACUGUUUUAAAACUUGUAUUUAUAAUUUAGUCAUGCUUCUAUAUGAUAAGUUUUUGUGGUUUCUACUUGUCUGUUGUGCCAUUGUGAUGUUUAUAUUUAUGUUCUAGUAAUUUAUUUAUUUUAUUUAGUUUCUUUAUUUAACGUAGGUAUUGUUAAGUAUCUUAUCAGUUUAAUUGGUUUGUUAUUUAUAUCAAGUAUAUUGUAAUAGUUCAGUGCUCCUUAAUUUCUGAUGAUUGAUAAGCUUUAAAAGGAAGUUUAUCAACAUGAUCAGAUUAAUGUUUUCUCAAGAUUUGAAGUGAUUCCUGGUUUUAUAAUUUGUAAAAACAGGAGUGAUAUUUUCUAUCAACCAACAGCAUUGACAAAUUACUAAUAAGAACAACAGCAUUAAACACCAUUCAUGCCUCUUAUUUUGUCCAAGGGACAUCAGCUGCUGCAGUUAUUGAAUGCAUUACAAUAUCUUACAUGUACCAAAGUAGUAAAACUUUAAAAAGAUUUUUCCCUAAUAAAGGAAAAGAUAACUCAUUUCUUAUUACUUCUAACAUGUCUAAUGGGUAUUUUUUUCCUAUAACAAAUGACCAAAUUUACUCAUGACAGAAUUAUAAAGAACAAAUUUCAAUACUCAUAACUCCUGUUCAGAAUAGAUUUCUUUACUAUAGUUUUAUUUGUUGAUUGAUAUAUAUACACGUGUCCCUAUAUCUAUUGGUAAUCUAAGAAUUUAGCAUUACACAUCAUAUUCUAUAAAUGUAUUACCUGUAUAUUCAUUUUGUACUUGUUUUCUUUUAAUUAGCAAACUCUGUUAUAUGGAUAAAACAGUGGUAUCUUUUGAAGAAGAUCUAAGAGACUGUUGCCAUAUAAGUUCUUUGUUGAAGCUUUUCCAUUGGUUAUCUUGAUUACAGGAUGUGAUAAGGUUAUAUCCUUGGAAGGUUGCUGUCUGUACUCUAUAUUGGCUAAUGAUCGCAAUCACUAUUUGCCUGUGUUCUUUGAACAUGUCAAAGAGUAAAUUAUCGUCGAUAUAACUUUCAAGUAUGAAGUUGACAAUUUGAAAAAAGGACACCAACUUUUAAGUCAUCAAAAAAGACAGAAAUUGUGAGAAGAAUUUUCCUGAUGCUUGUAUUUGCACAGAAAAUGACAGCUUUGACUUGUAGAUUAACUGGUUUCACAUUUUUAUGAGCAGUUGUUAUUUUAGUUGAUAUCCUUUUUAUGAAAUAAAGAGAUACCAAUUUUAAUCAGUUGCAAGAAAAUAUGUUUGUGAAUAGAUCAUAUUGGUUUUGUCAUGUAUUCUUUUCUAACAAAGUUGGGAGGUGACCUUUUCAUGUUUUCAUUACUCACAAGUUUGAAUGACCUUGCCUGUUUCAUACCAUUGCCAUUCAGUUUUGUCUAUACUAAUGUUAUUUCUGAGUGUGGUUUUAUAAAUGUUCAUUGAUAAGGUUUCUUUGGUUACCAUCCAAGGAUGUAUUUUAUUGAAGCUGUUUCUGGAAUUUUUUGUUUGUUUGAUACUGUUUGGAAAUAAAAUGGUGUUAUUUAGAUGUAUUUUAAAUACUUUAUUUUAACUUUUUUCAUGUGUUUUUAAUUUUGCAGCGUUUUAAGUAAAUACCAGUAAAACUGAAGUUGUGUGUUUAAUUUGUGUACAUAUCUCCAUAAAGCAUUUAGAUUUUUCAAGUCUUAUUCUGGUUUUCAAUAUAACACAUUCAAUUAUUCUAUCAGUAGUUUGUUCAAUAGAUGAAUUUAAACUGCAUUUCUAUUUGUGUGCACUUAUUUUUGUUAAAAAUAUACCUACUACAAAUUUCAUGACAAUACAUUACCAAAGAAGUACAUGAAGAGAAGUCUUCGUAUUACAUUAGUUACAUUGGUGCCUGGAUGGCUGAGUGGCUUAUGUAGUUUAUAGUGAUCACUUAUAAGUCCCCUACAGGCUACUGACGAAGUCAAAGGGGACUUUAGAUUUGCACCCUAUCCGACUGUCCAUCCGUCAGUCCGGCAAAUCUGUUUUUAACUGAUAGGGGACUAUGUAUUGCCAUGCAAUACUGACAGAAUGCUUGAUAAGCCUGUCUUAGGAUCAGAUGGAGCACAAGGUCAACUCUGACUAGGAUUGACAGUUUUGUCUGUGGUUCUGUUAAGAUUUUUCCGCUUUCUCCAAUAAAAACUUAACGCCAUGAUUUAACCAAGUGUGUUGAAAAUGGGAUUAAACACAUUCCUUCAAUCAAAUAUUGUUUAUGAGAGGAGAAUUUCUUUCAGAUUGUCUGUUUGUUAUGUUCACUGACAUUUUCAACAAAUUAAGUAAUAUAAUACAACAAAUAUUUUCUUACAAAUUCUUAGGUCUUAACAUUGUGAACUUUUAAACUUAGUCUAUUACUUUCAUAAUUCUCUUAGAAUUUAUAUAAAACAAAAUAUCUUAGAAUACUUUAACUGACAUGGUUUGAGACUUGGACACAUGUUGGAUGGAGAGUAGCAUUGGCACUCAUACCACAUCUUCCUAUAUCUUUAUAAAGUAAAUAUAUGAUUAAGUAAUUAUGCAAUGUGUAAGUCUUGAAUGAGAAUGAUAAUAAAUCUUGUUUAAAGGUAAAUCUUGAUUGGUAGCGCUGUUAUUAUUUUUUUUAGAAAAUCAAACCCAUCUUAUCUUAUUCUAUUUUUUUAUUAUUGAAAGAAUGGGUCACCAUUUUGAUUGUCUUUCUUGGAACACAUUGUUUAUCUUCCAGUUGUAAUGAGAUUUCCCAUAGUGUCCAUCCCAAUAUAAAUAUCAAUAGAUGUUUUCAUUUCUUGAGCUUUAAAAAGGUGCUAAUCCCAAAAAAUUAAGCUUUUUUUUUACUGCGUCUUAAAGAACUAAAGAGCAAUGUCCUUGGCUAUUAAGGAUUUUUUGUUUUCCUGAUGAUAAUGAAAGUACCUUUUCACAAUAUUUAUUAAGUUCUGAAGUUAUGGUUUACUUAAGCCAAGCUAUAUUGAUGCUUCAGGAUAAAAAGACAAGUACCACUGUUUUAAAUUCUAACAGAAAUAAUGACAGCAACACAACAACACAAAAAAAAAACAAAGAUAUUUAGAGGUCAAUAGUUGACCGGUGUCUUGAUAUAUAUUAAAUUCUUAAUCAUGCCAAGUCUGGGAAUAGUAUUAUAAACAAGUGUCUAGAUUUAUAAUAUCAAUGUAGAUACAAGCUAGGCUGUGAUAGUAUUAGUUUUGUUCUAUUUAUUGUACCAAGUAUUUGGUAUUUCUUAUUUGUUUAUUUAUUUUUUAUACUAGAAAUGGAUGGGAAUCUAUAUUUAUCUUGUAAAACUAAUAGUUUUUUGUUUCAAUAAAUACAGAAUCAACUUUAUAUAGCAUUUAUCAUUAAAUUUUCAUUUAAUAUAUUUUUGUCUUUUUCAAAAUAAUAAAAAAAAAACACUG